AGAGUUUGAUCAUGGCUCAGGAUGAACGCUAGCUACAGGCUUAACACAUGCAAGUCGAGGGGAAACGACAUCGAAAGCUUGCUUUUGAUGGGCGUCGACCGGCGCACGGGUGAGUAACGCGUAUCCAACCUGCCCACCACUUGGGGAUAACCUUGCGAAAGUAAGACUAAUACCCAAUGACGUCUCUAGAAGACAUCUGAAAGAGAUUAAAGAUUUAUCGGUGAUGGAUGGGGAUGCGUCUGAUAGCUUGUUGGCGGGGUAACGGCCACCAAGGCUACGAUGUCUAGGGGUUCUGAGAGGAGGUCCCCCACACUGGAACUGAGACACGGUCCAGACUCCGUACGGGAGGCA
This 351-nucleotide ribosomal RNA is filed under the name uncultured bacterium. RNAcentral describes it as "bacterial SSU rRNA". It matches the Rfam family "Bacterial small subunit ribosomal RNA", at positions 8 to 350 of the family's 1533-position model. The record is from RNAcentral.